Molecule: ribosomal RNA, 487 nt
Filed under: uncultured bacterium
Lineage: Bacteria
Description: bacterial SSU rRNA
Rfam family: Bacterial small subunit ribosomal RNA
Source: RNAcentral
GAUGAACGCUAGCGGCAGGCUUAAUACAUGCAAGUCAAGGGGUGCAAUACAACCGGCGCACGGGUGAGUAACGCGUACACAACAUACCAUAUACUGGAGUAUAGCUUUGGGAAACUAGAAGGUAAUCCUCCAUAACAUUGCGAGAGGGCAUCUGAUUGCAAUUAAAGUUUCGGCGGUAUAUGAUUGGUGUGCGCUUGAUUAGCUAGUUGGUAGGGUAACGGCCUACCAAGGCGACGAUCAAUAGCUGGCGUGAGAGCGCGACCAGCCACACUGGAACUGAGACACGGUCCAGACUCCUACGGGAGGCAGCAGUAGGGAAUAUUGGACAAUGGAGGAAACUCUGAUCCAGCCAUGCCGCGUGAUAGAUGAAGGCCCUCUGGGUUGUAAAUAUCUUUUAUCUGGGAAGAAACACUCCUAUUCUUAGGAACUUGACGGUACCAGAGGGAAUAAGCACCGGCUAACUCCGUGCCAGCAGCCGUCGGUAAAG